This 855-nucleotide ribosomal RNA is filed under the name uncultured bacterium. RNAcentral describes it as "bacterial SSU rRNA". It matches the Rfam family "Bacterial small subunit ribosomal RNA", at positions 23 to 872 of the family's 1533-position model. The record is from RNAcentral.
CUCAGAACGAACGCNGGCGGCGUGCUUAACACAUGCAAGUCGAGCGCGAAAGGAGGCCUUCGGGUCUUCGAGUAGAGCGGCUGACGGGUGAUUAACACGUGGGUAACCUGCCUCUGGGUGGGGGAUAACCACCGGAAACGGUGGCUAAUACCGCAUAAGACCACGUCUUCGUGGAGAUGGGGUCAAAGGUCCUUCGGGACCGCCGAGAGAGGGGCCCGCGGCCGAUUAGCUGGUUGGCGGGGUAAUGGCCCACCAAGGCGACGAUCGGUAGCUGGUCUGAGAGGAUGAUCAGCCACACUGGUACUGAGACACGGACCAGACUCCUACGGGAGGCAGCAGUGGGGAAUAUUGCGCAAUGGGCGAAAGCCUGACGCAGCAACGCCGCGUGGGUGAUGAAGGCCUUCGGGUCGUAAAGCCCUGUCAGGUGGGAAGAAACCUUCUCGCAAGAGGAGCUGACGGUACCACCGAAGGAAGCACCGGCUAACUCCGUGCCAGCAGCCGCGGUAAUACGGAGGGUGCAAGCGUUGUUCGGAAUUACUGGGCGUAAAGGGCGCGUAGGCGGUCUUACAAGUCCGGUGUGAAAGCCCGGGGCUUAACCCCGGGAGGGCACUGGAUACUGUGAGGCUUGAGUUCGGGAGAGGAGGGCAGAAUUCCCGGUGUAGGGGUGAAAUCCGUAGAUAUCGGGAGGAAAACCAGUGGCGAAGGCGGCCCUCUGGAACAGAACUGACGCUGAGGCGCGAAAGCGUGGGGAGCAAACAGGAUUAGAGACCCUGGUAGUCCACGCUGUAAACGAUGGAUGCUUGGUGUGGGGGUCAAUAAGGAUCUCCGUGCCGAAGCUAACGCUAAGCAUCCCGC